This 313-nucleotide small nuclear RNA is filed under the name Opisthocomus hoazin. RNAcentral's name for it is "7SK RNA". It matches the Rfam family "7SK RNA". Rfam says of the family: 7SK was discovered as an abundant small nuclear RNA in the mid-70s but a possible function has only recently been suggested. Two independent studies have found that 7SK RNA binds the CDK9/cyclin T complex (known as elongation factor P-TEFb). The record is from Rfam by way of RNAcentral. Lineage: Eukaryota; Metazoa; Chordata; Aves; Opisthocomiformes; Opisthocomidae.
GAUUGUGAGGGCAAUCUGGGUACCACAUCUGUCACCCCACUGAUCGCCAGGAUUCAUUCGACUGAUCCGGCUGGUUUAGCGGGUGUCCCCUUCCUUCCUCACCACUCCAUAUGCACCACUCCCAAAGCUGCAUGCUCAGUCAAAGAGGAUGACCUUCUCCGACAGAGACGUACCAUUCAUCAGUCAAGAGUAUACGGUAGCUGCGGUUGCCUGCUAGAACUUCCAAACAAGCUCAAGGUCCAUUUGUAGGACAAGCUUCCAAGAGUGCAGGCACAUCCAAGUGAGACACUGCAUGGGGCACUCUGCUGUUGUU